This 505-nucleotide ribosomal RNA is filed under the name uncultured bacterium. RNAcentral describes it as "partial 16S ribosomal RNA". It matches the Rfam family "Bacterial small subunit ribosomal RNA", at positions 28 to 507 of the family's 1533-position model. The record is from RNAcentral.
GACGAACGCUGGCGGCGUGCCUAAUACAUGCAAGUAGAACGCACAGUUUAUACCGUAGCUUGCUACACCAUAAACUGUGAGUUGCGAACGGGUGAGUAACGCGUAGGUAACCUGCCUGGUAGCGGGGGAUAACUAUUGGAAACGAUAGCUAAUACCGCAUAAUAUUGAUUAUUGCAUGAUAAUUGAUUGAAAGAUGCUAUUGCAUCACUACCAGAUGGACCUGCGUUGUAUUAGCUAGUAGGUGAGGUAACGGCUCACCUAGGCGACGAUACAUAGCCGACCUGAGAGGGUGAUCGGUCACACUGGGACUGAGACACGGCCCCGCAUCCUACGGGAGGCAGCAGUAGGGAAUCUUCGGCAAUGGACGAAAGUCUGAACGAGCAACGCCGCGUGAGUGAAGAAGGUUAUCGGAUCGUAAAGCUCUGUUGUAAGCGAAGAACGGGUGUGAGAGUGGAAAGUUCACACUGUGACGGUAUCUUAACAGAAAGGGACGGCUAAAUACGUG